Molecule: non-coding RNA, 72 nt
Organism: Bos taurus (domestic cattle)
Lineage: Eukaryota; Metazoa; Chordata; Mammalia; Artiodactyla; Bovidae
Source: Rfam
UCCCUCCUAGCUCAGUCAGUAAAGAAUUUGCCUGCAAGGCAGGAGACCCAGGUUCGAUUCCUGGGUCAGGAA